Scatophagus argus is the source of this 660-nucleotide long non-coding RNA. RefSeq lists it as uncharacterized. Lineage: Eukaryota; Metazoa; Chordata; Actinopteri; Scatophagidae. The record is from RefSeq and is a predicted model, not a curated record. The transcript is spliced from 3 exons.
CUACUAGCUCAUGACAGAUCAGCGUUCGGCCUCGGCCACACGUCAUCGGCGUGGCUUUCAGCUGUCCAGUGUGGUGUUCCUGCAGCUCUAAGGCCAGCAAACUGCAGGACGAGCCCCCGGUCCUUCUCUUUUCAUUCGGUGUUCAUAUUAUAGAGCAUCAGACUGAGACAUGACCAACAACAGAGACGAUGAUGGAGGAAGUAUUCAGAGACCAUCAGCAGCUUCAUCUAAACACCAUCACACAGUCUCCUUUCUCUGUGUGCACGAGCCCACAAUUACAGACCAUGUGCUGAGGCACCCCCCCCACACCCACCGCCAACCUGACCCCACCCACCCAAACCACACUUUGAUCUCAAACCAAACAUCCCCUCCCUCCCUCCAGCUUCUGUUUCUGCUCCAGACCACAAACCAGAGGGACUCUGAGGACUCCAGACCUGCACUGACCGGCUGGCUGAGGAGCUGCAGGAUCUGCAGAGAGAGGCUUGGAGAAACCUGGAAAACACUGAAGAAGAAGGAGAUGUCUUUAUUUAAAAACUCAUUCUUCAGUAUUUUAAUCUUUAAGGCAACUUGUACUGCUGUGCUUCUGUCUGUUUCACGUCUGAGGUGAAAUGCAUUUUCAUUGGGUGGGUUAAUAUAAAAUAAAUAUCUAAAUGUCUCUAC